Pyrus x bretschneideri (Chinese white pear) is the source of this 3928-nucleotide long non-coding RNA. RefSeq lists it as uncharacterized. The transcript has 3 exons. The record is from RefSeq and is a predicted model, not a curated record. Lineage: Eukaryota; Viridiplantae; Streptophyta; Magnoliopsida; Rosales; Rosaceae.
GCUAAGAAAUUAAUACACUGAAGUUUCCCAUUUUUACUUCUUUCUCUAAAACCUCUCGAGCUCUCUCUCUCUCUCUCUCUCACACACACACACACACACUACAUUUCUGAAGGUUAAGAUGGUAUCAAUUGCCAUGAAAGCUCCCCUUGAUCUCAAUCCAAGUCUUCCGCCGUUUUGAUUCUUCGAUCGAUCUUUGUCUUCAUUGAUCUUCUUGCUUCUUGUUCGUGGUUCUUGAUCGAAUUCACUUCGUCUGCUCUUUAAUCUAGGGUUUUCUUCAUCCCUAAGGCUUUGCAACUGCGAUUCCGGUUGUGACUUUGUCUUCUACAAUUUGUGCCCUCCAGGUGUUUGGUGCGUGUUCUCAGAGAUAUUUCUGCCAAAUUAUAAAAGUCUUUCACUCGUAAUACAGCAACAAUGGUAACUGCUUCUCAAUUACAGCUCCUUCAAUCACCGAUAACUGUUUUGGUUUCAUCGAUUUCCACAUCUGUGAGUGUUAAACUUGAUGAUUCGAACUAUCUAAAUUGGCAUUUUCAAUUGAAAUUAUUGCUUGAAAGUAAUGGAAUCCUAGGGUUUGUUGAUGGCUCGCAUCCCUGUCCUGCUCAAUUCAUCUCUCAGUCUGGAGAAUCUGAUGUAAAUUCGUCAAAUUCAUCGUCUUCCUCUGUUAAUGAUGAGCAUUUAGUUCGGAUGAUGCAUGAUAAAGCCCUGAUGCAAUUACUUAGUGCAUCUUUAAGUCCUGUGGCAAUGUCAUGUGCUAUGAGGAGUACCAGUUCUAAGGAUAUUUGGAUUCGACUACAAGAACAGUUUUUAACUGUCUCUAAGACCAGCAUUUUCAGAUGAAAUCGAAUUUGCAAACAAUCAAAAAGGGCUCUCAUUCUAUCACUCAGUACUUACAAAAGAUAAAGCAAGCUAGAGAUGAUCUUUCUGCUGCUGGGGUUUACUUUCUUAAUGAAGACAUUGUUAUACUUGCAUUAAAUGGUUUACAAGCAGAGUACAAUACAUUUCAGACUGUGAUAAGGGGGCGUGAAAAUGUCAUUUCUUUGAAGGAAUUUCGAACACAAUUGCUUGCUGAAGAAGCCAUUCUUGAGUCCACUGUUAAUGCACUGUUUAUAGCCAUGAUUGCCAAUACUCCAACUCAGAGAGGGUCUAAUCAAUCCAGUUUUGUCUCUGGUGGAUUCAAGUAGUUUAAUGCCAAUAUGAACAAGGGUAAGGGCAGAUUUAAUCAACAUCCAAGAAGUUUUUCACCUAGACAGUACAUGCCUACUCAAACACAUGUCAUUCAAACUCCAAGUCCUGGUAUACUUGGUUAAUUUUCAAAUUCACAUCAGCAUAUUCCUUCUGCCCCACCUGAGAAGCUAAGAUGUCAAAUCUGUGGGAGAUUCAAUCACAAUACCUGGUUUUGUUUCUACAAUGAGAAGGGUCCCAAUUAUAUUGGUGCUGGAGCUAAUUCGACUUACUCUCCGAUGUCUUCAUAUUCUUAGCAAGGAUAUCAAUACUCUCUGGUUAAUGCCUAUCCACAACAAAAGGCUCAAUCAUAGUUCAUUGGACAAUAGUCUCAAUCAUAGGCUCAAUUGCAUGCCUACCAUACUAUGGCAUCACAACCAAAUCCUUCACAUGCUUCUUCAUCUACUUCACAAGUGUGGAUCACGGAUUCAGGCACAACAAAUUAUACGACUGUAGAUCUCUCAAACUUAUCUUUGGCUUCUCCUUAUCCCACCAAUGAAAUCAUUUAGACUACAAAUGGUGAAGGUUUGCAUGUAUCACACAUUGGUAACAUUGUUAUCAAGCCUUCCAUACAUCCUAUCAAACUGAAUUUUGUAUUAUAUGUGCCCUAAUUAUCACAUAAUCUUUUAUCAGUGCAUAAAAUUUGCUUGGACAAUAACUGUUGGCUUAUAUUUGAUGCCUUAUGUUUUUGGAUCUAGGACAAGGCCACAUGGAGGAUACUCUACAAAGGACUGUGUAGUAAUGGACUUUACUCAAUCUCUUCCCUUGCUAAUACUUGUCCUGCAGCUUCUCAAGGCAUGGUUUCCAAUAAAGCCCUUCUUGGUCAGCUUGUUAACUCCAUUACCUGACACAAUAAACUAGGACAUCUUUCUAAGUCUGUUGUGUAUUUCAUGCUACAUAAAUCCAAUAUUACAUUUACUAAAAAUUCCAGUUCUAUAAUGUGUCAAAGCUGUCUAGAAGGUAAAUUCUGCAAACUUCCUUUUUCACCAAGUGUCAAUAAAUUUGUCAUUCCUUUUGAAGUGGUGCACAGUGAUCUUUGGGGUCCUGCACCUUGUGUAUCUAUGGAUGGAUAUAGGUAUUAUGUUACCUUUAUUGAUGAAUGUACCAGGUAUUCUUGGAUCUUCAUUUUGAUCAAUAAAUCAGAUCUUUGUGUUACUUUUAUUGGUUUCUAGCUUAUGUUCUUACUCAAUUUUAUGCAACAAUAAGAAUAUUGCAAAGUGAUGGUAAUGGUGAGUACAUAAGUAAAUCCCUUCAGUCAUUUCUUCUACAAAAAGGCAUCUCACAUAAAAAAUCCUGCCCUUACACUCCAAAACAAAAUGGCAUGGCUGAACGAGAACACAGACAUUUCAUUGAAACCUCAGUUACACUACUCCAAACAGCUCAAACGCCUCCUAAGUUUUGGUCUUUAACAUGUCAAACAGCCAUUUACCUUAUUAAUAGGAUGCAUACUCCUAUUUUAUCCAAUAAAUCUCCAUUUGAAGCCCUGUAUGGUGCAGUUCCAAUGAUUCAACAUUUAAGAACUUUUGGAUGUGCUUGUUACCCUCUUCUCAGACCAUAUAACACUACCAAAGUUCAACCCAAGACAACAAAAUGUAUAUUUUUGGGUUAUGCAUCCAAAUAUAAAAGGUUCAUUUGUUAUGCAGUUUCUCAGCACAAGUCUUUAUUUCUAGGCAUGUUGUGUUCAGUCAACAGGAAUUCCAUUAGAAAGAUUUAUUGGCAUAUACCAAUCCCACAUCAUCAUGUUCUGUGAAUUUUGAUGUUCAACCUUCUCCCCCUAAAGUUACAUCCCAGAAUGUAGUCACUAUACUACCCCAAGACACUAAUACAAAUUCAAUACCUUCUUCACUGUCUCAUUCUCCAAGUCAUACUUAGUCAUCAUUCCACUCAUCAUAUGUUGCAUUGUGUCCACACAUAUCUCCAUCAGCAUCACUAUUCUUAGAUACACAGCAGCCUGCUCAGUCCAUUACUAGUGCAAUUUAUGAUAAUCAUAUCCUUGUGGUACUUGACCAUAGUCCUGAUACACUUCAAGUGGUUCAUUCCAUAUCACCACUCAAUCUUCAUCCUAUGCAGACUAGAAGUAAGAGUGGUAUCAGUAAGAAAAAGGUGUUUUUGUCCACACUUGCUGCUUCUAAGUAUGUUGAUCUGUCUCUCUGUGAACCCUCAACAUACAAAUCAGCUCUUAAGAGUUCAGUUUGGUUUCAAGCCAUGCAAGAGGAAAUUAGUGCAUUACAUGUCAAGGUAUAUGGAGUUUGGUUCCAUUACUAGUUAAUAAGAACCUAGUGGGGUGCAAAUGGGUCUUCAAAAUAAAGAGACAUUCAGAUGGGUCAAUAUCAAAGCAUAAAGACAAAGUGGUUGCUAAAGGAUUCAGUCAAGAACCUGUUAUUGAUUAUAAUGACACUUUUAGUUUUGUUGUUAAACCCACCACAGUGAGGAUUGUUCUAACACUUGUUGCACAUGUCCCUUAGGUAACUUGAUGUCAAGAGGCCUUCCUACAUGGCAUUCUCCAAGAGGAAGUGUUCAUGGCUCAACCACCUAGCUUUGAAGAUCCACAUAAUCCCUUAUUAGUGUGACUUAGGUCUUCUUCACUUCUUUUUGGGGAUUCAGAUUUCUAAGACUACCAAUGGCUUGUUUCUGUCACAACAAAAGUUACUAAAGGAUGAUGGUGAGCUCUAUUCUAAUCCAACAUUAUAUAGAAGUGUGGUUGGUGCCU